UGGGGAAUAUUGCACAAUGGGGGAAACCCUGAUGCAGCGACGCCGCGUGAACGAAGAAGGUAUUCGUAUCGUAAAGUUCUGUCCUAUGGGAAGAUAAUGACAGUACCAUAGAAGAAAGCUCCGGCUAAAUACGUGCCAGCAGCCGCGGUAAUACGUAUGGAGCGAGCGUUGUCCGGAAUUAUUGGGCGUAAAGGGUACGCAGGCGGUUUAAUAAGUCGAAUGUUAAAGAUCGGGGCUCAACCCCGCAAAGCAUUGGAAACUGAUAAACUUGAGUAGUGGAGAGGAAAGUGGCAUUCCUAGUGUAGUGGUGAAAUACGUAGAUAUUAGGAGGAGUACCAGUAGCGAAGGCGACUUUCUGGACACAAACUGACGCUGAGGUACGAAAGCGUGGGGAGCAAACAGG
RNAcentral lists this ribosomal RNA (403 nucleotides) under bacterium. RNAcentral describes it as "partial 16S ribosomal RNA". It matches the Rfam family "Bacterial small subunit ribosomal RNA", at positions 355 to 776 of the family's 1533-position model. The record is from RNAcentral.